Molecule: transfer RNA, 72 nt
Filed under: Anaerolineaceae bacterium
Lineage: Bacteria; Bacillati; Chloroflexota; Anaerolineae; Anaerolineales; Anaerolineaceae
Also listed under: 2 other names
Description: tRNA-Gly
Rfam family: tRNA
About the family: Transfer RNA (tRNA) molecules are approximately 80 nucleotides in length. Their secondary structure includes four short double-helical elements and three loops (D, anti-codon, and T loops).
Source: RNAcentral
GCGGGCGUCGCCAAGUGGUAAGGCAUUAGCUUCCCAAGCUAACAUUCGCCGGUUCGAAUCCGGUCGCCCGCU